GGGGAUUUAGCUCAGCGGCAUAAGCGCCUGCCUUGCAAGCAGGCGGUCGUGAGUUCGAUCCCCG
Cavia porcellus (domestic guinea pig) is the source of this 64-nucleotide transfer RNA. It matches the Rfam family "tRNA". From Rfam's summary of the family: Transfer RNA (tRNA) molecules are approximately 80 nucleotides in length. Their secondary structure includes four short double-helical elements and three loops (D, anti-codon, and T loops). Further hydrogen bonds mediate the characteristic L-shaped molecular structure. tRNAs have two regions of fundamental functional importance: the anti-codon, which is responsible for specific mRNA codon recognition, and the 3' end, to which the tRNAs corresponding amino acid is attached (by aminoacyl-tRNA synthetases). tRNAs cope with the degeneracy of the genetic code in two manners: having more than one tRNA (with a specific anti-codon) for a particular amino acid; and 'wobble' base-pairing, i.e. permitting non-standard base-pairing at the 3rd anti-codon position. NCBI's taxonomy places the organism in Eukaryota, Metazoa, Chordata, Mammalia, Rodentia, Caviidae. The record is from Rfam.